Long non-coding RNA from Helianthus annuus (common sunflower), 1760 nucleotides. RefSeq lists it as uncharacterized. NCBI's taxonomy places the organism in Eukaryota, Viridiplantae, Streptophyta, Magnoliopsida, Asterales, Asteraceae. The transcript has 4 exons. The record is from RefSeq and is a predicted model, not a curated record.
AUAUAUCCUAAACAAGAAGGUCAAAGCUAAGCAGCAUUCUUCCCAGCUUGAUUGAAUCUAUAUGAAGUAAAAUUAGCGGGUCAUUUGGCUUCAAAAAGAUUCAAAUUUUGAAUCCCAUCAAUUUCUUCAAACAAGCAAACGUUUAGGAAGGUCGUCGCCGAUGAAUUUUCCACCCACUGGAUCAAAUUUACACCUGUGUUCAGGUAUGCUUUUUCUUGGUUUUCUUUGAAUUCCUAUAAUUAAAAACCAACGCAAAGAACGAUGACUAAUCUAUAAAAUGCGUAGUAUUUUAGUUGAAAAUGUUUGUGUAAACCUGGUGUGCAUCUUCCUAAUGCAUGGAUAGGCCUUCAAACAUGAGGCUUUACACAAAAGGCCAAACUAUGUGAAUUCCUUUGUUUCUUCCAAAACUAUCUUUGGUGCUACAAGCUCAUAUUAUGAUGUUUUGCACCUGACCUGGACUACAAAGAAGCGCCAACUACAAAUUGAAAUGAUCGAUCAACUUUGUAACAAGUGGCACUGUGGAUCCAAUUGGUUGCACAGAGAGCAAUGCCCGUUGACUGGUGAUUGAAGUAUUUGGAUUUGGAUGGCCGGAAGAGUUUAACGUAGCCAUGAUGGCUAAAUGGUGGUGGCGGUUUCGGGACUGCCCCACCCACCCACCUUUGGUUAGAUGUCAUCUUAGCUAUACAUGGGCCGGAUAACGAAGAUAAAAUCAUCCCGGUUAAGCGUGCUAUUGCUGGAUGGUGGAAAGAUGAAAAAGUUUGGUAUCAAGAUUAAAAAAAAAACUGAAAGUCGAAGUUGGGACGAAAAAUCAAGAAGGUUUUGGCUUGACGAUUGGCUUGGGCAGGGUACUCUUAAACAUCGAUUCCCGUUGAUCUUCAGACUUGCGGCUAACAAAAGGACAUGCGUUAGUAACUGUUUUCAACAAAUUUAUAACCAGAUUCAUUGGAGUUGGGGCUGGUCAAAAGAUCCUAAUUGAGUUGAAGAGUGGGCUCAAGUGGGCAACUAAAUGAGUUGGUUGCAAUAGGUUAAUCUCAAGGGUGGGAAUGGUAGGUGGCGGUGGGAUAAUUUGGAGGGGAAGACUUCUCGACCAAGGCUUUAUGACAUGAAAUGACGCUGAAAGCUGAAGUGUAAAUUGAUAUGGGUUCGUUUUGGUACAACUCUUGGGCUCCACUGAAGGCGAACUAUCUGGUAGUUGUGCAGAUUUAAACAAAGUUGUGGCAAAGGUUCAGCUAGCAAAUAGAGGUAUGCUCUUCUAUGAUGUUUUGUGUAGUAUGUGCGUCUUCCGAGAGGAAAUAUGUGACCAUGUCUUCAUGUCAUGUAUUUGGACCGGAAGUGUUUGGUAGCAUGUCUCUAUAUGGUUGAUAAUUGCCAUUAUGAUGGACUUUGAGUCAGUGGGUCAGAUCAUAAAGCAUGUUAAUGAGCAGGUUGGCUCCAAAAGACGAAAGAAGGCAGCUCAUUGUUGUUUUUUGGCGACUUCUGAAGGUUGUGGUUGACGAGAAACGACAAACAAUUUAACGACAAAAUGAUCCCGGUUCAGAAAAUAGGAGAGCAUAUAGAGGAAGACACUUUCUUUUGGGCGAAACACCAAGCCAAAGCCACGUACCUCGACUGGGAUAACGACUUGAUUUGAAUAUUUCAGUUAUGUUGUAAUUUAUUUCGAACCUUUUGUAUCGGUUUUCAACCGUUUGUUUUUAUGUUUCAGUUUUAUAUGAUUUCUAAAAAAAAACUCGGUUCACUUAAGUGUUUGUGAGUCUGUAGGA